GAUGAAUUAUAAGGAGGCUGCUAACUUUCUUGUAGCGGUAGCUAUAUAGAU
This 51-nucleotide transfer RNA is filed under the name Epeus alboguttatus. Its description in RNAcentral is "tRNA-Ser". Lineage: Eukaryota; Metazoa; Arthropoda; Arachnida; Araneae; Salticidae. The record is from RNAcentral.